Molecule: ribosomal RNA, 400 nt
Filed under: uncultured bacterium
Lineage: Bacteria
Description: bacterial SSU rRNA
Rfam family: Bacterial small subunit ribosomal RNA
Source: RNAcentral
UGGGGAAUUUUGGACAAUGGGGGCAACCCUGAUCCAGCCAUGCCGCGUGCGGGAAGAAGGCCUUCGGGUUGUAAACCGCUUUUGUCAGGGAAGAAAUGUCCUGGGUUAAUACCCUGGGGGGAUGACGGUACCUGAAGAAUAAGCACCGGCUAACUACGUGCCAGCAGCCGCGGUAAUACGUAGGGUGCGAGCGUUAAUCGGAAUUACUGGGCGUAAAGCGUGCGCAGGCGGUUAUACAAGACAGAUGUGAAAUCCCCGGGCUCAACCUGGGAACUGCAUUUGUGACUGUAUAGCUGGAGUACGGUAGAGGGGAGUGGAAUUCCGCGUGUAGCAGUGAAAUGCGUAGAUAUGCGGAGGAACACCGAUGGCGAAGGCAGCUCCCUGGACCUGUACUGACGCU